CCUACGGGUGGCAGCAGUAGGGAAUAUUGCACAAUGGGCGAAAGCCUGAAGGAGCAAAGCCGCGUGGGGGAAGAAGGUCUUCGGAUCGUAAAACCCUUUUGUUAGAGAAGAAAGUGCGUGAGCGUAACUGCUCACGUGUCGACGGUAUCUAACCAGAAAGCCACGGCUAACUACGUGCCAGCAGCCGCGGUAAUACGUAGGUGGCAAGCGUUCUCCGGAUUUAUUGGGCGGAAAGGGAACGCAGGCGGUCUUUUAAGUCUGAUGUGAAAGCCUUCGGCUUAACCGGAGUAGUGCAUUUGAAACUGGGAGACUUGAGUGCAGAAGAGGAGAGUGGAACUCAAUGUGUAGCGGUGAAAUGCGUAGAUA
Molecule: ribosomal RNA, 366 nt
Filed under: uncultured bacterium
Lineage: Bacteria
Description: partial 16S ribosomal RNA
Rfam family: Bacterial small subunit ribosomal RNA
Source: RNAcentral